Molecule: small nuclear RNA, 22 nt
Filed under: Arabidopsis thaliana (thale cress)
Lineage: Eukaryota; Viridiplantae; Streptophyta; Magnoliopsida; Brassicales; Brassicaceae
Description: snRNA_04034
Source: RNAcentral
GGGCGUCGGCCUGUGGGCUCCC